GCUCAGUGGUAGAGUGCAUGCUUAGCAUGCAUGAGCUCCUGGGUUCAAUCCCCAG
This 55-nucleotide transfer RNA is filed under the name Camelus bactrianus (Bactrian camel). It matches the Rfam family "tRNA", at positions 10 to 63 of the family's 71-position model. From Rfam's summary of the family: Transfer RNA (tRNA) molecules are approximately 80 nucleotides in length. Their secondary structure includes four short double-helical elements and three loops (D, anti-codon, and T loops). The record is from Rfam by way of RNAcentral. Lineage: Eukaryota; Metazoa; Chordata; Mammalia; Artiodactyla; Camelidae. RNAcentral also lists the same sequence under 2 other names.